UACAGAGGUCUCGAGCGUUAAUCGGAGUCACUGGGCUUAAAGGGUGCGUAGGCCGGCCCGCAAGUGCUUUGUGAAAUCCCACGGCUCAACCGUGGAAUUGCUUGGCAGACUGCGGGCCUUGAGGUCGGUAGGGGCCGCCGGAACUCUAGGUGGAGCGGUGAAAUGCGUAGAUAUCUAGAGGAACGCCAAAGGUGAAGACAGGCGGCUGGGCCGAUUCUGACGCUGAGGCACGAAAGCGUGGGGAGCGAACGGG
Molecule: ribosomal RNA, 253 nt
Filed under: uncultured bacterium
Lineage: Bacteria
Description: partial 16S ribosomal RNA
Rfam family: Bacterial small subunit ribosomal RNA
Source: RNAcentral